GCCCAGGGCAGUGCAGACACUGGUUGAGGUGGCCCAGCCAGUGAGGAAUUCGCGUGGGGGGACAGGCCAGCCCAGGGAGCUGCACGUGACGAGCCUGGACAUGUCACUUUGCUAUUGACGGAAGCAUAUUGGGGUUGGGACGCGCCUUAGGAAAGACGGAGGUGGCAGAGCAAUGCAUCUCCGGGUCUGAACGUGCUCUGCCAUGCAGCGGCUUCUGACCCCAGGCUGGUGACUCAGCCAGCCCUGCGCCGAAUCCUCCUUCGUCAGCGGCCGCUCAUAAGAACAAUACAGGCUCAAUGAGGCAGGGAUAUCCCGUCUGCCUGUGGUGCCUGGCAUACUAUACACAUAUCCAUGGUCACGCAGCUAAGUAGACAAAAGCCAUUAGUGCCAGGAUCCUGCAGCUAGCACACACAGGUGGCAGACCCUGCUGACUUUGUUCCCCUGCAGGCUAAGAUUGGCUGUCCAUUUUUUUACAGGGGAGUGGUUUCAUGACCCAAAACCAAACAAACUCACUGCCAUCAAGGGGAUUCCAACUCAGAGCAACCCUGUAGGACAGAGCGGAGCUACUGCCUAGGAUCUCAGAGAUGGUGAUUCUUUAUGGGAGCAGACAGCCUCAUCUUUCCCGUGGAGCAGCUUGGGAGAGGCUCCGCUGGCCUGGCACCACACAGCCCGUGGCAUCUUCCCCAGAAGCGCCUCUGCCAAGCGCAGCCCCCUCGACCUGCGAUUUCUGAUCGGCCGCAUUGAGGGCAAGGAGCGGUAGGCCGCUGGCAAGAUGGGUGAAAGGAAAGGUGUAAACAAGUAUUACCCUCCAGAUUUCAAUCCUGAAAAGCAUGGCUCUCUCAACCGCUACCAUCACAGCCACC
Echinops telfairi (small Madagascar hedgehog) is the source of this 863-nucleotide long non-coding RNA. RefSeq lists it as uncharacterized. The transcript is spliced from 4 exons. NCBI's taxonomy places the organism in Eukaryota, Metazoa, Chordata, Mammalia, Afrosoricida, Tenrecidae. The record is from RefSeq and is a predicted model, not a curated record.